AGUAGUCAUAUGCUUGUCUCAAAGAUUAAGCCAUGCAUGUGCCAGUGUAAGCUUCAGCAUGGCCAGACUGUGAAUGGCUCAUUACAACAGUUGUAGCUUAUGUGGUGGUCUGUCUACAUGGAUAACCGUGUUAAUUCUAGAACUAAUACAUGUUCAAUUGCCCGACUCAGUGGUAGGGUGGUGGUUAUUUGCAACAGAACCAGUCCAGGCAAUCCCUGGCUCAUCGGUGAAUCAUAAUAAUUUGGAUAUAUUGUAUGGCAUCCGCAGAUAGUGUUUCAUUGAAGCUUCUGACCUAUCAGCUUCCGAUGGUUGGGCAUUUGCCUACCCUGGCAAUGACGGGUAACGGAGAAUUAGGGUUUGACACCGGAGAGGGAGCCUGAGAAGUGGCUACUACAUCUAAGGAAGGCAGCAGGCGCGCAAAUUACCCAAUCUUGACACAGAGAGGUAGUGACUAGGAAUACCAAUACUGGGCAUCUAUGUCUUGUAAUUGGCAUGAGUAGAAUAUGAAGCCUUCUAUGAGUACCGAUUGGAGGGCAAGUCUGGUGCCAGCAGCCGCGGUAAUUCCAGCUCCAACAGUGUAUAUUAAAGUUGUUGCGGUUAAAAAGCUCGUAGUUGGGAGUCUGCCAAGGACAACCGGUCCACCCUUGGGGUGCGUAUCUGGUUUGACCAGGGGUAUAUUCUUGGGCAGCGUAGCUGCACUUGAUUGUGUGAUGCGAUAUCCAAGACAUUUACUUUGAGGAAAUUAGUGUGUUUCAUGCAGGCCCACGCCUUGGAUACCUUAGCAUGGAAUAAUAGCAUAGGGCCUUGGUUCCAUCUUGUUGGCUUCUAGAAUCGAGUUAAUGACAAAUAGGGAUACUUGGGGGCAUGCGAAUUUGAUUGUCAGAGGUGAAAUUCUUGAAUUUGUCAAAGGCGGACUAGUGUGAAAGCAUUUGCCAAGAAUGUUCUCAUUGAUCAAGAAUGAAAGUUAGGGGGUCGAAGAUGAUCAGAUACCGUCUUAGUCUUAACCAUAAACUAUGCCAACUAGAGAUUGGGGGCUGCUGUCUUUACGACUCCUUCAGCACCUUCUGGGAAAUCAAAGUCUUUGGGUUCCGGGGGGAGUAUGGCUGCAAGGCUGAAACUUAAAGGAAUUGACGGAAGGGCACCACCAGGAGUGGAGCCUGCGGCUUAAUUUGACUCAACACGGGGAAACUUACCAGGUCCAGACAUAGAAAGGAUUGACAGAUUGAUAGCUCCUUCUUGAUCAUGUGGGUGGUGGUGCAUGGCCGUUCUUAGUUGGUGGAAUGAUUUGUCUGGUUAAUUCCGUUAACGAACGAGACCUUAUCCUGCUAAAUAGAUUUGCAUAGCCAUGGUUGUGGGGGGACCUUCUUAGAGGGACUUUGUAUGUGUAAAGCAAGGAAGCUUGAGGCAAUAACAGGUCUGUGAUGCCCUUAGAUGUUCUGGGCUGCACGCGCGCUACACUGAUGCUCUCAACAAGUGCGUAACACUGCCUGAAUGGGUUGGGUAAUCUUUUGAAAGCGCAUCAUGAUAGGGAUCGACCAUUGCAACUGUUAGUCUUCAACAAGGAAUUCCUAGUAAAUGUGAGUCAUCAACUCGUGCUGACUACGUCCCUGCCCUUUGUACACACCGCCCGUCGCUCCUACUGAUUGAGUGAUCCGGUGAAUAUUUUGGACUGCAGCAUCGCUCAGGUCCUGGGUUUUGCAGCAUCAAGUUUAAUGAACCUUAUCACUUAGAGGAAGGAGAAGUCGUAACAAGGUUUCCG
RNAcentral lists this ribosomal RNA (1759 nucleotides) under Protoperidinium crassipes. RNAcentral's name for it is "SSU rRNA". It matches the Rfam family "Eukaryotic small subunit ribosomal RNA". The record is from RNAcentral. Lineage: Eukaryota; Dinophyceae; Peridiniales; Protoperidiniaceae.